CGAGUAUCUGCGAAAAGGGGUACACUUCGGAAACACUGUCGUUUAAGCUCUUGAGAGUUCGUUUGAAUCGUAUAUAAAUUAUGGAACAAGUUAUGGAAAAAGUAGAAAGAUUUCUGUUAAUAAACAAAUCCGAAAUAUAUAAAUUUGAAUACGCAAAAGAAAACGAAAAUAAAACGAUAUAUGUAAUAUAUAUGUAAAUAGAAUAUUCCUAUUGAAAUUAAUAAUUAAUAUUCUCAAUAAUAUUCAAAAUAGAAAUUAGAAUGUCUAUUUUGUUUGUGUCUCUAUUUUAAAAAAUAAGCUAAUAAAUAAUUGGUUGAAUGUAUUACAAAUGGCCUAUUGAUGUUUCUUUUAUUUGUUCAAAUUGAAAAAAAACAGAAAAUUAAACAACUUUUUAAUUUUAAAUAACAAUUUUAAUUUUAAUCUUAAUUUUAAGCAAGAUUUCAUAUCAAAAACAUCUUUUUAAAACUAUUAAUUUUGUACAUCUUAUAUUUUUUAUAAUGAAUAAAAUUAUUUAUAAAAAUAAUCUUUUUUCUAAUUAUGCAUAAAUAAUAAACAUAAAAAUAUAAAAA
Long non-coding RNA from Apis cerana (Asiatic honeybee), 569 nucleotides. RefSeq lists it as uncharacterized. NCBI's taxonomy places the organism in Eukaryota, Metazoa, Arthropoda, Insecta, Hymenoptera, Apidae. The record is from RefSeq and is a predicted model, not a curated record.